CUGCAACUCGCCUAUAUGAAGUUGGAAUUGCUAGUAAUCGCGGAUCAGCAUGCCGCGGUGAAUACGUUCCCGGGCCUUGUACACACCGCCCGUCACACCAUGAGAGCCGGUAACACCCGAAGUCAAUAGCCUAACCGCAAGGAGGGCAUUGCCGAAGGUGGGAUUGGUAAUUGGGUGAAGUCGUAACAAGGUAUC
This 195-nucleotide ribosomal RNA is filed under the name uncultured bacterium. RNAcentral's name for it is "partial 16S ribosomal RNA". It matches the Rfam family "Bacterial small subunit ribosomal RNA", at positions 1305 to 1500 of the family's 1533-position model. The record is from RNAcentral.